GCUCAGGAUGAACGCUAGCUACAGGCUUAACACAUGCAAGUCGAGGGGCAGCAUGGUCUUAGCUUGCUAAGGCCGAUGGCGACCGGCGCACGGGUGAGUAACACGUAUCCAACCUGCCGUCUACUCUUGGACAGCCUUCUGAAAGGAAGAUUAAUACAAGAUGGCAUCAUGAGUCCGCAUGUUCACAUGAUUAAAGGUAUUCCGGUAGACGAUGGGGAUGCGUUCCAUUAGAUAGUAGGCGGGGUAACGGCCCACCUAGUCUUCGAUGGAUAGGGGUUCUGAGAGGAAGGUCCCCCACAUUGGAACUGAGACACGGUCCAAACUCCUACGGGAGGCAGCAGUGAGGAAUAUUGGUCAAUGGGCGAGAGCCUGAACCAGCCAAGUAGCGUGAAGGAUGACUGCCCUAUGGGUUGUAAACUUCUUUUAUAAAGGAAUAAAGUCGGGUAUGCAUACCCGUUUGCAUGUACUUUAUGAAUAAGGAUCGGCUAACUCCGUGCCAGCAGCCGCGGUAAUACGGAGGAUCCGAGCGUUAUCCGGAUUUAUUGGGUUUAAAGGGAGCGUAGAUGGAUGUUUAAGUCAGUUGUGAAAGUUUGCGGCUCAACCGUAAAAUUGCAGUUGAUACUGGAUAUCUUGAGUGCAGUUGAGGCAGGCGGAAUUCGUGGUGUAGCGGUGAAAUGCUUAGAUAUCACGAAGAACUCCGAUUGCGAAGGCAGCCUGCUAAGCUGCAACUGACAUUGAGGCUCGGAAGUGUGGGUAUCAAACAGGAUUAGAUACCCUGGUAGUCCACACGGUAAACGAUGAAUACUCGCUGUUUGCGAUAUACAGCAAGCGGCCAAGCGAAAGCGUUAAGUAUUCCACCUGGGGAGUACGCCGGCAACGGUGAAACUCAAAGGAAUUGACGGGGGCCCGCACAAGCGGAGGAACAUGUGGUUUAAUUCGAUGAUACGCGAGGAACCUUACCCGGGCUUAAAUUGCAGAUGAAUUACGGUGAAAGCCGUAAGCCGCAAGGCAUCUGUGAAGGUGCUGCAUGGUUGUCGUCAGCUCGUGCCGUGAGGUGUCGGCUUAAGUGCCAUAACGAGCGCAACCCUUGUUGUCAGUUACUAACAGGUUCCGCUGAGGACUCUGACAAGACUGCCAUCGUAAGAUGUGAGGAAGGUGGGGAUGACGUCAAAUCAGCACGGCCCUUACGUCCGGGGCUACACACGUGUUACAAUGGGGGGUACAGAGGGCCGCUACCACGCGAGUGGAUGCCAAUCCCAAAAACCUCUCUCAGUUCGGACUGGAGUCUGCAACCCGACUCCACGAAGCUGGAUUCGCUAGUAAUCGCGCAUCAGCCACGGCGCGGUGAAUACGUUCCCGGGCCUUGUACACACCGCCCGUCAAGCCAUGGGAGCCGGGGGUACCUGAAGUGCGUAACCGCGAGGAGCGCCCUAGGGUAAAACU
RNAcentral lists this ribosomal RNA (1443 nucleotides) under uncultured organism. RNAcentral's name for it is "SSU rRNA". It matches the Rfam family "Bacterial small subunit ribosomal RNA". The record is from RNAcentral.